AUUGAACGCUGGCGGCAGGCCUAACACAUGCAAGUCGAACGGUAACAGGAAACAGCUUGCUGUUUCGCUGACGAGUGGCGGACGGGUGAGUAAUGUCUGGGAAACUGCCUGAUGGAGGGGGAUAACUACUGGAAACGGUAGCUAAUACCGCAUAACGUCGCAAGACCAAAGAGGGGGACCUUCGGGCCUCUUGCCAUCGGAUGUGCCCAGAUGGGAUUAGCUUGUUGGUGGGGUAACGGCUCACCAAGGCGACGAUCCCUAGCUGGUCUGAGAGGAUGACCAGCCACACUGGAACUGGGACACGGUCCAGACUCCUACGGGAGGCAGCAGUGGGGAAUAUUGCACAAUGGGCGCAAGCCUGAUGCAGCCGUGCCGCGUGUAUGAAGAAGGCCUUCGGGUUGUAAAGUACUUUCAGCGGGGAGGAAGAGAGUAAAGUUAAUACCUUUACUCAUUGACGUUACCCGCAGAAGAAGCACCGGCUAACUCCGUGCCAGCCGCCGCCGUAA
RNAcentral lists this ribosomal RNA (506 nucleotides) under uncultured bacterium. RNAcentral's name for it is "partial 16S ribosomal RNA". It matches the Rfam family "Bacterial small subunit ribosomal RNA", at positions 30 to 523 of the family's 1533-position model. The record is from RNAcentral.